CGUCCCCAUUUCAAGAUAACGCCAUAAAUCAGUACGUACACUGCAUGCAUUAUUGGAGGUGUAACACCCUGGUCUCUUGUCCACUUAAAAGCAGCGUCCAUGAACUCCCAAAAAUCUAAAUCAAGGGAGUAUACGACAUUUGUAAGAAAUCUAUGAAAUUUUGCCCAUCUGAAAAACUCAUAACACCGUCUCUCCCACAGACAAUGAGUAACUCCGUCCUCGCGUCCCCAUCUGUGCCAGAAUUCAAUAACUUCCUUCUCUGACGCAGUAAACGGAACCUGAGCUUCCGAAGCCUCAAUAAUUUCUUUGUACCUCCGGCGGAAGAAGCCCAUCUGCAAAUCAGAAGAGAUGACAGUGACCUGUACAACAGCUUUGGAGAAUUUUGAAUUCCCUUUGGAUGUUAAGGAAAGCGUGUUGUUGCUAUGUCUGCCAGGUUCUCCUCAGUGCAGUCCACACCAUGGUAAGAAUUAAAUAAAAGACUUUUAACAUGAUCUUUCAGAGAUCUGCCCUGAUGGUGGACAGUCAUAAGUGGCAUGGAAUGUGAGAGAAAAAUGCCCAGUUGUUGGAGGAAUCUACUCCAAUGACUUGGGAGUUCCUCCCUGAAACACUACAGGACCCCGAUGAAGUGGCAGAAUAUUUGGAAGGAGAAUGCUGUGGCAAUUCCAGACAGGAGCAAUUUAUUGCAAUGUGCUGGGCCCAGAUUAUGAUUUAUUGGACACUGCACUGUACUAGGUAACACCCUCAGGUGGAGGGGAAUGAAAACCCACAAGCAGGCCACUGCAGCUGAACCAGAUGAACAACUUGUGCUGGCAGCAGGUGCCCCUAUAAAGAAAUUCAAGACAAAUUUAGUUCACUUAGUGAGGGAUAAAGAGGAAUAGGGCACUCACAACAGGAGGAAGAAGCAGGGCCAGAGAGAAUCACUGAUCCCUACCCUCAGGUGAGCUGCAAGAAAUGCAAAAACAUUUCAGUCACCCUUCAGGAGAGCCCUUUGUGACCUGCCAGUUCUGAUGCUGGGAUAUCACAAUAUGCAAUAUGAAACUAUUGGUAGUUUCAUGCAAUAUGAAACUAUUGGUAGAUGGUAGUGAAGCCAAGCAGUUGGGAUCCCUGUUCUAGGAUGUAGGCAUUGGCAAGAGGAUUGGAAAGAGGACAGAAACUCUCAGUGUCUAGAAACAACAUCUGUCAAGCAUGAGGGAAGAGUAUUCUCUCAUGGAUGACCUAAUAGUGCACCAAGACAAGUGGAAUGUCCUGGAGAAAGGUAUUCAGGACCUGAUAGAAUUAGCUGUGCUGGAGGUAAUCUCGAGGGAUCCAAAUAACAAACAGUCCCCUGUAGAUCCAGAUCGGAUCCAGUGUACACAAUCCAUGUGGCAGAAGUUUCUAUGGCAUGUGCCAUCAUUGUACACCAACCCUUUGGCAUUGAUGUCAAUGAAAGAAGAAACACUGCUUCAGGUGAUCACCCGACUUUGACAAUAUGAAGUUAUUUUUUCCUCCCUACCAACCUGUGCCUCGGCUGUGAAAAGACUGAACAAGACUGCAGACAGACUUGCAAGACUCAAGCAACCUAGAGAGAAAAUGUCCCAUGCCCCUGCCAGUACGGACCAGAAUCUCUGCUAUUGGGAGCAUGUACCCUUCUGCUGGAGAGAGGGGUACACACCCCGAGGUAACCUGCAGUUUUACCUGCACAACCACAGAGAGGACACAAGAAAGUGGGAUGGAAAAACCCACCUCUGCCCUAACAGCAGGGGUACAUUAAUUGAGAAGAAGAACAACCACCAACGGAAAUUCUUCAAUGAUAACCCAGUUUCCAGUGGACAAGUCUUCAGACAGAAUGGAAGGGCUGAAUGUUAUUUCUGAUCCUCUUGAAGAGAUCUCCAGUUCAUGUCUGCAAGAACUGAGCAAUGACUGCCAUGACCAGAACUACAGGGGCCUUGCCUCCAGCCAUGUGGAAGAAAGGGGGGGAUCAGAUCUAUUGGAUUGUGUGGAUCCCAUGGCCUGGCACAUCAGACCCACAAGAGUAAUAGGGCCCUUUAUUUGACACUGGCACACAGUGUACCCUGAUGCCAUCAAGAUGUGUAGGGGCAUGAUCUAUCUCUAUUUCUGGGGUGACAGAGGGGUCCCAAGAGGCCCUGAGGUGACCCUGACUGGGAAUGAAUGGCAAAAUCACCCCAUUCUGAUUUGCCCAGACAUCCCAUGCAGCCUUGGCAAAGAUUAACUCAGGAGAGGCUAUUUCAACGACUCAAAAGGAUUGAUGGGGUUUGUUGGUUCCGAGCCGGAGGGAAUGGUUGGGCUGUGGUUGGGCCAGGUUGGACUCAGUGAGCCUUUUGCAUGUGAAUUACUCUCUUUCUUUUAUACACUUUUGUUAUUAGUAUUGUUGCUGUUGCUGUUUGUUUUCUCUACCUCAUUUCUGUUUCCAGUAAAUUAUCUCAGCCUGUGAUCUUUAGCUUUGCUUCCACUCCUCUCCAGCCCACCAUAAGGGAGCAAGUAGUGGGAGGGAGGAACGAAAGGCUCAAGGUUUUAGUGGGAACACUAAAUUAGAGAAUACAUACCUAAAUCACAUUGCCUGCAACUACUUCAUAAAUGCACAGUAGGUAGACAUACAUAUAAAUGCUCAUUAUCUCAAUGUUACAAAGGUUCCAUGACCUGAAUGCCCCCCUGAAUAACUGGAAUUAAACCUUAAAAGUAAUUUCUUCAUCCAUUCUUGUGCACAGACUGUGAAUAUAGUAUCUUUCCCAUGUAUCAUAAGCAAAGCUUCAUCUGUUGCAACAUAUGUGCAAACGCGUAGAUAAUGGUGUUUCUGUUCUGAAAAAUCAACUCACAGAAGUGACUCUGUUGAAUUUUUUCACUUCCUAGCCUUUUUCAGAACACUGUAUGAAAGGAUUCAGAAACAGAGAAUUGGAGAGGAGUUUCUGUAGUUCCCAACUCUUCAAACUUACUCAAAAAGUGAGAUAAAAUUCUUUGUUUAGCAGAAAAAUAUAAUUACUAGUAAUUUUUGUACUUGGACCCACAAAUUAUACCAGUGCAAAGAAUUUAUUUUUGAGAAGACAUCCUCAAGAUUGCACCAUCAUUAAAUCACAGUGAAAGUUCACCAGUAAUGCCAACAGAAUUCAGCUCAGUGGAGAGUGCAAGCGAAUAGCAGAAGUUUCUCUAGAUUUUCAGUCUAAAAUGGAAGCAAAUUAUUAUAUUGAUAACAAAAAGAUAAAUUGUAAGAGCCUACUACUUUCUUGUUCUGCUCCAGCUGGAUUAAUCAUGGGUACAUGGGUACUGCUACUAUUUAUAUGUUAUGAAAACGUGGGUGGCUUCUUUUGUAUUAUCAGUUUUUGUAACAGAACCUAUAUGUUCUAUGCAUUAGAAAAGAAAACUGCCAAGAGAAGUACAGUUUCUAGUUUUAAAAACAGAUUUUAAAUCCUUAAGGUUUUCAUCUUCAUGCAACCAUAUCCUUCCUCUUGAAGUUAUAAUCAAAAUUAUAGAAAGGCUUUUUUAAUUUCCUUGAGACCCAAACAAACAAACCCCAACUAUUUCCCAUUGAUAUUUUAUAUUAAAAAUGUCUGAUUUUGAACAUCUGCUUCAGGAAUUGUCUUUAAAAGCCAGUAGGGAGAGUUUUGGUAUUUUACUACUUUUUUUAAAAAAAUAAAGGAUGCUGUCAUAUAACUUUCUGAUAGGGGUAAAAAGUGAUCUAAAAACUCUAAUAAAUAUUAAUGAAGCAUGAAACCCUACAUCUAGAGGUGGGAAACCCUACAUCUAGAGGUGAUUCCACUAUGAAGAAUUAUGUUUAUUUGCUGUAAAUGAUGUGGAUACUGUAAAAUUAUGUAGAGGACUUCAGUGAAAGCAAAAAGAGAAACUGGACCUUAAGGAUUUUUUAAAAUGUUUUCAGAAAUAGUGGUGAGGGAUUAGAUACAUUUCCCAUCCUUCAGAGACAAGGACAUUCUUUGUUAUGUGACACUGUUCUUUAGUGACAUAUAUUUACAUUUAAUGUAAUAAAAUCCCUACCAUCACCAGAAAGAGGCUUUUUUUGUAAUUGCCAUGAAAAAAUCACAAGAUAGUUAUUGUAUCACAAAAGACCACAUAUCCAUCUCCUUACAAUUAACUAAUUUCAUUCAAGAAGGACAGCAGUAUUCACCAUAUGGGGAAGGCUGGUAAGUACCUCUGGCAAGCUGGAGAAAACAAGUGAAUUUAACAUACUGUCCUAUGUUAUAAUAUUAACAUGUAUUCUCUUCCCACCCUCAAGAGCUGUUGAAACCAGGAGGAGCAUUGUUUCUUCCUUAUCUCCUGUUAAUGGGCCCAUCACAUGACUCAUAGAGUAAUAACAGUCCAUUGUGAGAUGCUCCGCCCAGGGAGGAAGACUACACCCUUUCUACAGGAUCACUGCUCCAACACAACUACAUCUGCCACGCCAGGAGGACUGCAGCCACCAAUCCAACUGGACUGCUACCAACACCCUGACCAACAGGCUGUCAGGUUGUAUUCUGACUUUGUCAGUGGUUUUUCUUUUGUAUUAUUGCAUGUAUUGCAUGUAUUUUGGUUUUCUUUUCCCUUUUCCUAAUAAAUUGUGUUUCUGAA
Long non-coding RNA from Passer domesticus (house sparrow), 4554 nucleotides. RefSeq lists it as uncharacterized. Lineage: Eukaryota; Metazoa; Chordata; Aves; Passeriformes; Passeridae. The transcript has 4 exons. The record is from RefSeq and is a predicted model, not a curated record.